UAAGAUGACCCUAAUGGAAACGCUCGUUUAUCGAGCCUCUACCUUUCGGUUCACUUGGAACAAGACGGAAGAUAGUCAAUCUUACCGUCGCGCAUACCUAAAAGCGGGUCUGCCGCCUUCGUUUCUCUUUCUUCGCGAAUGACUAACCUCCCUUUGGCUAAGCCCACAAGGCGUGCCUUGCCGGUGCAAUUGGUGCCAGCAGGGUUCGGUUUAGGGCUUGUAGCUCAGUUGGUUAGAGCGCGCGCUUGAUAAGCGUGAGGUCGGAGGUUCAAGUCCUCCCAGGCCCACCACUUCAGUGCAGCCCGAAGGGCUGUCACGACGCAAUCCGCAAGGAUUGUCGGAUCACCUCGACACCUGUCGGGAAACGCUAUCAGGGGCCGUAGCUCAGCUGGGAGAGCGCCUGCUUUGCAAGCAGGAUGUCGUCGGUUCGAUCCCGUCCGGCUCCACCAAUGCGCAAUCCGUAAGGAUUGUCGUAAUCGCGACGAUCCUGUGGAUCGCGCGUAGGUGUCGAGUAGAGAUGGUGAGAGAAGUCAUUCGUAAAAAGAGUUUGCGCCGAGCCUCGGGCUCUGCGCCUGUUCUGUUUGACAUCGUAAAGAGAAGAUUUGUUCGAACUUCACGAGCCGCAAGGUUGGUGAUUUGUCGCAAGGGACGCUCAAUCCCUUGCAUAUGAUGGGUAAGCCUAACCGCGCCCUCGAACCGAUCUCGAGAAGCUGGUCUUUUUGUGCCAAUUCCAUGCGACGAUCUCUGCGAGAUCGCGCUUGAGCGACGAUCCUUCGGAUCGCGCUUUGCUAAUCUCGUAAGAGAGAGGCCGAAGCGACGAUUUCUUCGAAAUCGCGCGAUGGGUAUUGGCAAUGAGAACGAUCAAGUGUCUUAAGGGCAAUUGGUGGAUGCCUUGGCAUGCACAGGCGAUGAAGGACGUGAUACGCUGCGAUAAGCUACGGGAGGUGCGAAUACCCUUUGAUCCGUAAAUCUCAAGG
RNAcentral lists this unclassified non-coding RNA (977 nucleotides) under Mesorhizobium sp. ORS 3653. Its description in RNAcentral is "partial 16S-23S ribosomal RNA intergenic spacer". The stretch from base 214 to 287 matches the Rfam family "tRNA". Lineage: Bacteria; Pseudomonadati; Pseudomonadota; Alphaproteobacteria; Hyphomicrobiales; Phyllobacteriaceae. The record is from RNAcentral.